Long non-coding RNA from Haplochromis burtoni (Burton's mouthbrooder), 465 nucleotides. RefSeq lists it as uncharacterized. The transcript has 2 exons. NCBI's taxonomy places the organism in Eukaryota, Metazoa, Chordata, Actinopteri, Cichliformes, Cichlidae. The record is from RefSeq and is a predicted model, not a curated record.
AACAUGUGCGGCGCUCGCAUGAGUUUUCAUAUAAUUGUCUUCUUAUUUCGCAGGGUCCCGCAGGAGCCGCCGAAGGAGCAAGUGCCAAGCACGUGUGAAUUGCCAAGAUGACUGAGCAGUGUUCACUGUAGCAGCCUCCCGAAUAGCCAAGGAGUUUAAUCAUCUGCAAAGUGUUGUCUGUAUAAAGAUGUGCCAAAGUUGUUGUCCCAAGAAACUCAUCCGGACAAGUCUGACGUAUGUGCCACCUGAAGUAGAGUCUGCUCUGCCCUUGACUGACUUUUGUGUGUGUGUUUAUAGUCGAGAGCAGAUAUCCGUCUUCAGAGGUGGCACCUUUCAGUCAAUUGUACACUAUCUACUGUGCAAGUUAAAUAGCUGUUCCCACCCUGCAUCUCCUGCAGUGCAACCCAGCAUGACUCACUGCUCACACUCCAAACAGACAGAUGGUCAUUACAUACAGUGCUUUUG